Molecule: ribosomal RNA, 774 nt
Filed under: uncultured Neocallimastigales
Lineage: Eukaryota; Fungi; Neocallimastigomycota; Neocallimastigomycetes; Neocallimastigales
Description: partial large subunit ribosomal RNA
Rfam family: Eukaryotic large subunit ribosomal RNA
Source: RNAcentral
UACUAGAGUAGCACUCGCAUAUCAAUAAGCGGAGGAAAAGAAACUAACAAGGAUUCCCCUAGUAACGGCGAGUGAAGCGGGAAGAGCUCAAAUUUGAAAUCUUAAAGGGUUUCCCUUUACGAAUUGUAGUUUAAAGAAGUGUUUUCUGUUGAGGUUUUGGUAAAAGUUCUUUGGAAUAGGACAUCAUAGAGGGUGAGAAUCCCGUAUUUGACCUUUACUUUCAACUUUGUGAUACACUUUCAAAGAGUCGGAUUGUUUGGGAGUGCAGUCCAAAAUGGGUGGUAAAUUUCAUCUAAAGCUAAAUAUUGGCGAGAGACCGAUAGCGAACAAGUACCGUGAGGGAAAGAUGAAAAGAACUUUGAAAAGAGAGUUAAACAGUACGUGAAAUUGUCAAAAGGGAAGCGUUUGACACCAGUGUUGUUUUUCUGAAAAUCAAUUAAAGAACUGUUUAUGCUAAGUUGUUUAGACUUUAUCAGCUAACUGUUUAGUUUUGAGCUUUUCUUUAAUGCACUUUUCAGUUAACAAGUCAACAUCAAUUUCUUUUGCUGUAAAAAAGCUUGAGGAAGGUGGCUUGAGAUUCGUCUUAAGUGUUUAUAGCCUCUUGCCUAUGCAGUCGGAGAGAUUGAGGUCUGCAGCGUAGAUCCUUCGGGGCUAAAUGCAUUUGUGCUAAGUUAUAGCAUUUUAUAGACAACUUGUUGACUAUGAUUUGUCUUGUAGCUUACUCGCUUAUGUUAUUUUACCUACGCUUAGGAUGUUGAUCUACAGAGCGAGAGU